This 462-nucleotide ribosomal RNA is filed under the name uncultured bacterium. Its description in RNAcentral is "partial 16S ribosomal RNA". It matches the Rfam family "Bacterial small subunit ribosomal RNA", at positions 28 to 507 of the family's 1533-position model. The record is from RNAcentral.
GACGAACGCUGGCGGCGUGCUUAACACAUGCAAGUCGAACGGAAAGGCCCUUCGGGGUACUCGAGUGGCGAACGGGUGAGUAACACGUGGGUGAUCUGCCCUGCACUUUGGGAUAAGCCUGGGAAACUGGGUCUAAUACCGGAUAGGACCACGGCAUUCAUGUGCUGUGGUGGAAAGCUUUUGCGGUGUGGGAUGGGCCCGCGGCCUAUCAGCUUGUUGGUGGGGUAAUGGCCUACCAAGGCGACGACGGGUAGCCGGCCUGAGAGGGUGACCGGCCACACUGGGACUGAGAUACGGCCCAGACUCCUACGGGAGGCAGCAGUGGGGAAUAUUGCACAAUGGGCGCAAGCCUGAUGCAGCGACGCCGCGUGAGGGAUGACGGCCUUCGGGUUGUAAACCUCUUUCGCCAGGGACGAAGCGCAAGUGACGGUACCUGGAGAAGAAGGACCGGCCAACUACGUG